RNAcentral lists this long non-coding RNA (2253 nucleotides) under Onthophagus taurus. Its description in RNAcentral is "uncharacterized LOC111417455". Lineage: Eukaryota; Metazoa; Arthropoda; Insecta; Coleoptera; Scarabaeidae. The record is from RNAcentral.
AUAACCUUACUUUAUUUUUCAAAGUUCCAUAAUAUUCGUAACCUCACUUAAUAUUAUUUUGAUAUUAAUCUAAUAACGUUGAGAAUUAGAUCCUAAAUUGCAGGAUUAGGAUCCACCUAACUGGAAAGAAAUAAUAGGAAAAUAGUGUUUCUAGCUAUGAAAACAAAUAUUACAACGAAAUCUUUAAAAGGAGUGGAAGUUCACAAUAUCUAUCUAAUUGUAUCAAUUUAUAAAAGACUUAUAAGUGAAGUAGUAAAUGGUACAGAACAAGGAAAUUUCAAAGGAAAGAAUCAUGAAGAAGCAUAAAUACAUUCUACAUGAACCAUUAUUUUUGAAUGAUAUUCAUUGUUUACUUUCAGAAUAACAACAAGAACACAAGUAAUCACUAAAAUACUUGGAGAAGGAACAGAGGAGGAAUUGUGUCUUCCCAUUAAAGCAAAUAAUAGAAAAGAGAAGAGAGCAAAUAAAGAGCCUUUACAAAGACACCGCUAUAACAAUAAACAGCAUCUCAGACAAAGAUUUGGAUUUGAUCUACAUUAACCAAGGAGUAAGACAAGGCUGUUUUCUAUCACUAUUUGUAUUAAAUUUGUAUAUGGAUGAUCUCAUCAAAAAAUGGAAGGUCUAAAGGUUGCAAUGUGGUUACUUAAUUACUAUAUAACACACUUCAUUAUAGUAAUGUAAAAUCUAAGAAAUUAAUUCAUUAAUUUUAUAAAUAAUUUAAUUGUAAAUUUUAAAGGUAUCUGUAAAUUAGUUGAAGUAUUUUGAAGAAAUUUCUCUAUUGAAUACGAGAUGGUGCUAAAUUUCUUUAAAUUCCUUUAACUAAUAGGAAGAAAUCCCAGCGUGAUUGUUUAUAGCACAUCCCGUCAUUUAGGCAUUUUGAAAUGCGGUUUAUUAUUUUUUCUAUUUUGGAAGGUUUACAAAAGUCGGACGGGGUUAUGGGUUUAUUAAUAACGUUCAACGGGGCCGCUUUAUAUCGAAAUGAGAUCGACCACAUGGCGUCCCCAAAAACUUGUAAAACGAAACCUGUACGGAAUCAAAAAAAUUUGAAUGCAUUUUACUUAUUUUUACAACAUUUAAAACGAUUUGAAAAGAACAAAAAAAAAUUCUUAGUACUUCUUAAAAGUGGCGCCUACACUCGAAAAACAAAUCUUUUAAAACCUUGUAAAAGAACCACUAACAAAGAGUUUCAUUGCGCCUCUUGAAUUCAUUGUUAACACUUCAAUGCUCAUUUUGAACCAUUCAAUAUGAAAGAAAAGAAUCGCUUCCGCCGCGGAAUCCUCUAAGAUGUUUUUACCUGUUUCCGGUGAUACUUUUUUUUUUUUUGGUAUGGUGCUGGGUGGCCGAGGAGGUUUAAGUUUAAGUUCCGGGAAGGGAUGAUUUCGUUCCUUUUGAGGAAAAUGCUUCGACGAAAUGGGCCAAGAAUUCGAUUUUCUUUAAUUUUUUUUUUAUUUUGAUCGGGAAUAAUUGCAGGACACACACCGAAAUUCUUUUAACUGUAAAUUUUUAUUACCGUCAAAUUGGUGAUCGUAAAAUCUUGUACAGUUAUGCAACGCUUUACUUUGAUGAGUACCCAAAGAAAUUAAAUAAUUUUUUUUUAACUUCUAUUUCAUUUCAAUCUGAUCAAUACUAACCAAUGUACAAUUCUAUUCCAACUUAAAUUACUAUUACAAGAUCAUCUUAAAGCAAUUUCCUUAAUGUUUUGUCAUCAUUAGAUGUAGGUCAGAAUCUUAUAUCGACUUUUGGGAAUCCUUUCUUAUUUUCAUAUCUCCGUGAUUAGUGGUGGAGACAUGAGUCUAGCUCUUCGCCCCAUGUUUGAAGGUUUCAGGGUUUUGUUGUCGCUAAUUGCAGUUUUGAGCCGCAAAGACAGAUUAAAACUAAAAAGGAAGGAAAUGGCAGAGAGCAAUGAGAAUGGCGAAAUUAUUUCUGCUUUGUUGUUUAUGGCCAUUCAUGUCUUUGUGAUAAUGUUAUUUUUAUUGUUGUAAAACGUGCAGACUUCUAUUUAAAGCAUCGCAAUAACGGGAUUUAUGGGAACUAAGAAAUGAUUUAUGGCACAAUAAAACUAGAUCAAAUUUGCUUUAAAAUGCUUCAUAUUUCAUUUCGAUAUCUUAAUUAGUUCUUGAGAUACGAUAUUUUUAGUUUGAUUAUGAACCUAGAUAGCUGUAAAACAUGCAGAAUUGUAUUUAAAGAACCAUAAUAACGGGAUUUAUGGAAACUAAGAAAUUAUUUAUGGUACAAUAAAACUAGAUCAAAUUU